GUUAUACAACCAGGGCCACAGGAUGAAAAUUCUGGGAAAUUGAUUUCCUUAGAAGCAGACUUUAACUAAUUAUCCACUAGAGUGGUGUUAAGUGUUCCAGCUUCCUUCCUUAGAUGGGACAAUACUGAGGCAUGUACUGAACAUAUCCAGGAAGCUCUGAUUAAUUCCCAGCAGUCCCUUGCCUGAUACUUCACUGAUUGCCUUCUCUUUCCACUACAUAACCCUUCUCACAAAUUCCAAAAUUGCUUCCAAAAUAGGCAGCUUAUACUGUGAUCCAUAUCUGGUGGCUUUUAUGGGACACCAAACCAAGAAAACAGCUUUGACUACUUUGUGGAGCUGAAAACCAACCUUUAAUUUCUCCUAUGUUUCUGAACUGGUAUAGAAAUGUGGCACUUCUGUCACACAGGAGUAUUGAAAGUCCAUGUAAAACUGUUUUGAAUUGUUUUUAAAGAGUCAUAUAAAAUAUCACUUUCAAAUGCAAAUUAAUUAAAAAAUUACAUAACAUACACACAUAGAGAUACUGCAUGCUGAUAUAGAAAAGUAGAAAGAAAAUAUUUUAUUUUAUAUUUAUUUUAAGAAAAUACUUUAAUAACCUGGUGGAAUAUUUAUAUUUAGUUUAGAUACUUAAUAAUGUUAUAUUAGAGAACUUUCAAUGCUGCUGCUCUGUCUUUUCUCUACUCGUAUUUUGCUUACUCUGUCUUUUGUUUUCACUCAUUUAAGGCUUGAACUGUUAGACCCUUGUGCUAGAGCACCAUUCCUAACAUAGUUUCAUUAGAUUUGAAAAACAAAAUAGUAAAGACUCUCUCAACAGUAAUUGCUCAAAAUUAUUUCAAAUGUAUCAUAGGUCAUUAUUAUCUUAUUUAAGUGAAUAUUUUGUCCAAACUGAAUUUUAUUUAUUCCACUUUAAAUCCAAUGUCUUUCCCCUUUCCAUUUUGGAAGUUUGGAAAUAAACAUGUUUGUUCUAUGUGUUGUCUUGUUCACUCUUUUCUCCCUUCCUUCUUUCAUGGUAACUGCAAAUUUUUGGUAAUCACUUCUUAUUUUAUC
Molecule: long non-coding RNA, 1044 nt
Filed under: Marmota monax (woodchuck)
Lineage: Eukaryota; Metazoa; Chordata; Mammalia; Rodentia; Sciuridae
Source: RNAcentral